Long non-coding RNA from Clupea harengus (Atlantic herring), 1418 nucleotides. The record is from Ensembl. NCBI's taxonomy places the organism in Eukaryota, Metazoa, Chordata, Actinopteri, Clupeiformes, Clupeidae.
AGGUGAUUGCAGCAAUACAACAAUAGCAACAACAUCACCAUGUUUAAAGUAAUCAAUCUCACUUCUGCACACACAAAAGAUAGAAGAUGAGAAAAAGAAAAUUACGAUGAAGAAAAGGUAUAUGGUGAUGAACAUCAAUAGCACCAACCAAGUUGUCCGUAGACACAAACAGUAUGGCACAUUAGUCCAUUAGUCCACAUCAUUACAUUAUUAGCUAUUAGUGCUCUUGCAGAGUGCGACAUCUGCAGUAUAUACUGUACGUUUGAUCACAUCAGAUGACGGACCAUAUUUAGCAACAGAUUAUCGUUUCCUUCAGUCUUCAGUAUUCAUGCAUGUUGUUCGCCCUUUAUCCAAAUACUUACAUAACCAUUCUUGGAGUUCAGAUCCUUCAAGAAAGGGAAUAAGGUUACUAUUCCAAGCGCAUAAGACACUCGAAUACUUGCUGGUGGGGGCCUUCUGUAUAACAGAAAAAAAAAGACUACAUUAGCUGGUUAGCCUUGCUAUUACAUAUAACAGAAUAUCAAACAAAUGUCUGAUGCCUACCGACACACUCUAACGCUACUGACUUUUGAACCUGUUUGGUACUCAAGGGAAAUACCUCAUAGACUUUGGGAAAUAACGAAAGAUGGAGGGAGAAGGAACAAAAGGAGGACGUACGAAUAAGAAUAAAGAGAAAGCAAGGUCAACAACAACAACAAGGUCAACAGCAACAACAACAGGGACAACAACAAGGUCAACAACAACAAAAAGGGCAACAACAACAAGGACAGCGACAAGGAGGACACAACAACAAGGACGACAACAACAACAAUGACAACAGCAGCAAUGACAAGAAUGACAAAAAAGCCACAUUAUUAUCAUCAACAACAACAACGACGACGGACUCAUACCUACCCAUGAUUUUCCAUCAUGUCUGCCACUAGUAUGUUGACCAUCUUCCUCCUUGUUCCAUCUGAGAGACAUUUCAUCUUAUUAUACUCAUGAAAUAUCCUGUCACCCCCGAGCUUCUCACAGAGCGCAGUGUGGACCAUCUGAAAUUAAACAUCAUACAUUUUACAAUGUGCAAAGCUGAAUCAAUUCAACAAAGACGAACAAUCAUAAAGCUCAAACGGAAAUUAGAUUUCAAACCUAGACACAAGGUUCUGUAAUUCAACAACCUAGCACUGGCAGAUGUUUUGACCCUACUUCAUGUCAGUGUCCUAAAGUACCAGGUGUUUACUACCUCGUUGAUAAGCAGAAUUUGCUGUUAUAGUAGUAGGUGUUAUAACAAAGUGUACUAGACUCAAGGAUAAUAUUAUUUAAUAACGAGAAGCAUCAUUACCUACUUCAGUACACUUAAAGUAAUACUAUGGAGUUUCUGGAGCCGUCAGCUAGGAGGGUACCUUCUGCUGGACUAUUCAGUAACUUAUUUGCUGUCU